UUUUUUAAUUGAAAACUUGAAUGAAUGGUUGAAUGAAAUAUUAACUGUUUCAAAAAAUUAUUAUUAUAAUUUUUAUUUUUAGUUAAAAUACUAAAAUAAAUUUAAAAGACGAGAAGACCCUAUAGAGUUUUAUAUUUAAUUAAAAUUUUAAAAAUUUAGAAUAUAUUUAAUUAAUUUUUUUUUAAUUAUUUUAUUGGGGUGAUAUUAAAAUUUAAUAAACUUUUAUAAAAAUAAACAAUAAUUAAUGAUUAAUUGAUCCAAUUUUAUUGAUUAAAAAUUUAAAUUACCUUAGGGAUAACAGCGUAAUUUUUUUUUAAAGUUCAUAUUUAUAAAAAAGAUUGC
RNAcentral lists this ribosomal RNA (342 nucleotides) under unidentified. RNAcentral describes it as "Schizocyttara turneri partial 16S ribosomal RNA". The record is from RNAcentral.